CACCAGAAACCACUGAGCUCUGGACACAUAAUAAGAAAGCGGCAAUAGAACAAAGUCUACGCCUGUCCCUGAUAAACACAUCGACAGCCUGAUCCAACAACUUAUCCAAAAGUAAACCCACAUCCGAGUUUCCAAAGAAAAACAAUUUCAGUAUUUUGUCACAACGCAAUAGGACACAAGGUGGACAUCCUGUUGGUAUCUGCCAAUAUUAAAUGGAAAUAAAUGAUACACUAUGCCUUAAAGUCCACUAGCAAACCUUGUAUGUUAUCUAUGAACGAAUGUUAGAUAUUGAGCAGACAUACUGAUUGGCACAGGACUGCUUACUAAGGACACAAAUUCAUUGUAAGAUGCAGCUAUAUCUCAGAAUGUAACUAAUGUAUUGAUAACAAGGUUUAUCGUUAACACAUUUAUAAGAAGGGAUUAUUGAGAGUGUAGCUCUUUGAAGAUGUGGAUGCCUUUUUCUUUAAGUGAAACCCUCCUGCCACACAGUGAUUGUGUAAUGUGGUGUAUGUAUCACAAGAUAACUAACACAAAAUGACAGGAAGCAAUUACCGUAGGCCACCCGUGUACCUCAAGCCACCUCAAACAUUCACUUCACGGCUGCAAUCUGUUUAAUACAGACCUUAACAUUUAUUGUUGGUUUUUAAUGUCAGCAGAAAAACUGAGAUUAUCAUCUGGCAAUUGGUAAAAACUAAUACAUGAUUUUGACUAGAAACAUGCAGAAAUAUCAAAUAAAUGUGACAAUUUUACGUUCCUGUUGGAAAGAAAACGUAGUUUGACAUUGGAAAUGUUUGUCACUGAAAUGUUGCUCCAAAACAAGAUUGGGAACUAUGGCAGUAGACGUUAUAAUAAAUCAAUAAAACACAUUGUCCAAUCUGGACACGACAAUAGAAAUAGCAAGACUUUGAAAUAUUUAGACAGAUCUCGUGAUUUAACACUAAUUUGUAUUUCCAAUAAAAUAUUUUCAAACAUUU
This is a non-coding RNA of Pelobates cultripes (western spadefoot toad), 974 nucleotides long. The record is from the annotation of a GenBank genome assembly. NCBI's taxonomy places the organism in Eukaryota, Metazoa, Chordata, Amphibia, Anura, Pelobatidae.